UACGUAGGGUGCGAGCGUUAAUCGGAAUUACUGGGCGUAAAGCGUGCGCAGGCGGCGCGUUAAGACAGGUGUGAAAGCCCCGAGCUUAACUUGGGAAUUGCGCUUGUGACCGGCGUGCUGGAGUGUGGCAGAGGGAGGUGGAAUUCCACGUGUAGCAGUGAAAUGCGUAGAGAUGUGGAGGAACACCAGCGGCGAAGGCGGCGUCCUGGACUGGUACUGACGCUCAGGAGCGAAAGCGUGGGGAGCGAUCCGG
RNAcentral lists this ribosomal RNA (253 nucleotides) under uncultured bacterium. Its description in RNAcentral is "partial 16S ribosomal RNA". It matches the Rfam family "Bacterial small subunit ribosomal RNA", at positions 524 to 776 of the family's 1533-position model. The record is from RNAcentral.